RNAcentral lists this ribosomal RNA (406 nucleotides) under uncultured bacterium. RNAcentral describes it as "partial 16S ribosomal RNA". It matches the Rfam family "Bacterial small subunit ribosomal RNA", at positions 28 to 526 of the family's 1533-position model. The record is from RNAcentral.
GACGAACGCUGGCGGCGUGCCUAAUACAUGCAAGUAGGACGCAGUUGCGAACGGGUGAGUAACGCGUAGGUAACUGCCUAUUAGAGGGGGAUAACUAUUGGAAACGAUAGCUAAUACCGCAUACUAGUAGAUGGACCUGCGUUGUAUUAGCUAGUAGGUAGGGUAAUGGCCUCCCUAGGCGACGAUACAUAGCCGACCUGAUAGGGUGGUUGGCGACACUGGGCCGGAGACACGGCCCUAGCUCCGACGGGCGGCUGCAGGAGGGGAGCUUGGGCAAUGGGGGGACCCCUGACCGAGCGUCGCCGCGUUAGUGAAGACGGGUUUCGGCUCGUAAAGCUCUGUUGUUAAUGAAGCGGUACUUAACCAGAAAGGGACGGCUAACUACGUGCCAGCCGCCGCGUAAUAC